CUGCUUUGCAGCACAUAUACUAAAACUGGGAUGAUACAGAGAAGAUUAGCAUGUCCCCUGCACAGGGAUGACACACAAAUUUGCAAAGCAUUCCAUACUUAU
Molecule: small nuclear RNA, 102 nt
Organism: Ailuropoda melanoleuca (giant panda)
Lineage: Eukaryota; Metazoa; Chordata; Mammalia; Carnivora; Ursidae
Source: Ensembl